This 81-nucleotide non-coding RNA is filed under the name unclassified sequences. The record is from Rfam.
UCGUCGAAAUGCAUGGUGGGGAAUCAGUGUGAAAUUCGCUGGCUGUUCCUGCAACCGUAUAGUCGGAGCGCCACCCGAUAA